Molecule: non-coding RNA, 799 nt
Organism: Pelobates cultripes (western spadefoot toad)
Lineage: Eukaryota; Metazoa; Chordata; Amphibia; Anura; Pelobatidae
Source: the annotation of a GenBank genome assembly
UAUAUUCUAUAUUAUUUUCUCCAUCCUAUUUCACAAGUGCCUAGUUCAGUGAAGAAAAUGUUUCACAAUUUCUACUUGUUUACCCAUAUCUUCUAAAAUAUUUUAUACACUAUGCCGAAUUAUACUUUUUAUGUUGUUCACAAGAUGCAUCUAUUUAAAAAAAUAAAAAUAAAAUAAUUGCACCUCUGUUCUGUACACUUAGCUGUUACUAAUCUUGUUCUGUUUCGUUAUACACAAGUGAGUCAUUUACCACAUGAUACACAUCCUUAUUAUAGGACUGAGGCUGACUACUCUUUCAGUUUAAAUUUGAUGCAACUAAACUGUUGGGUUGCAGCUGGAGUGGAUAACAUGAGACUCUUGAGUAGUGGAGUCUUCUGCAUAAGCUUAAAAAGCCUUAAAAUUUGCAGGAAUUCAAAAUGUGACUAUAAAAUAUGCAUGAAUUAUACAAAAAGUCAACUCUAGUUGUGAGGGUCUCAAGGUAUAUUUGGGAAAUAUUCUAGACUAUUUCCCCAGUAUGAAAAAUAUAUUAAAGGGUUACUAUAGGCACCAUUAUCACUUCAGUGAUUUGAAGUGGUCAUGGUGCCUAGAGUCUGUAUGUGGGUUUUAGCUUUUACAAAACGUAACUGAUUGAGACUAAGCCUUCUGUAGGUGUAACUUCACCUCUGGCAGCUUCAUGAGGUGUCAUCAGCCAACCUGGAACUAAUGUCAAUGCUGUGCACUUUAAAAAGUAAGGUUACCAGAAAUGUAAUUCCCAUUUGUCUCCGUGGAUGUCAUAGCAUGGAUUUCUAGCAACCUGUUG